This 274-nucleotide ribosomal RNA is filed under the name uncultured bacterium. RNAcentral describes it as "partial 16S ribosomal RNA". It matches the Rfam family "Bacterial small subunit ribosomal RNA", at positions 523 to 796 of the family's 1533-position model. The record is from RNAcentral.
AUACGGAGGGGGCAAGCGUUGUUCGGAAUUAUUGGGCGUAAAGCGUGCGUAGGUGGUCUGUUAAGUCAGGUGUGAAAGCCCUGGGCUCAACCUAGGAACUGCAUUUGAUACUGGCAGACUAGAGUGUGGUAGAGGGUAGUGGAAUUCCCGGUGUAGCGGUGAAAUGCGUAGAUAUCGGGAGGAACAUCAGUGGCGAAGGCGGCUACCUGGACCAACACUGACACUGAGGUACGAAAGCGUGGGGAGCAAACAGGAUUAGAUACCCCGGUAGUCC